GGAUUAGAUACCCUAUUAUUUUAAUGUUAAUUGUAAUAAACUUGAGUAGUAUUAGUUAUGAUCUUGAAACUUAAAGAAUUUGGCGGUAUUUUAUUCUGGUUAGAGGAAUCUGUUUCAUAAUUGAUAAUCCGCGUUGAACCUUACUUAGUUUUUAAAUUUGUAUAUCGCCGUUGUUGAGAAUAUUUUUAGGUAAAUUUCUUAAUAUUUAAUUUUAUAGUAUUUCAGGUCAAGGUGCAGUUUAUGGUUAAGUGAUAAAUGGAUUACAAUAUUAAUUUUGUAAACGGAUUAAGUUUUGUUGAAAACAUAUUUAUGAAGGUGGAUUUAAUUGUAAUAUUUUGUAGAUUGUAAAUGUGAUAUAGCUCUAAAAUAUGUACAUAUCGCCCGUCACUCUCAUUUAUAUAAAAUGAGAUAAGUC
Molecule: ribosomal RNA, 415 nt
Filed under: Capraiellus panzeri
Lineage: Eukaryota; Metazoa; Arthropoda; Insecta; Blattodea; Ectobiidae
Description: partial 12S ribosomal RNA
Source: RNAcentral